Long non-coding RNA from Nerophis lumbriciformis (worm pipefish), 494 nucleotides. RefSeq lists it as uncharacterized. NCBI's taxonomy places the organism in Eukaryota, Metazoa, Chordata, Actinopteri, Syngnathiformes, Syngnathidae. The record is from RefSeq and is a predicted model, not a curated record.
AGGAUUUCGAGUCAUUCUUCAUCUAAACGGAAAUAUAUGAACAUCCUAGCAGUCGGCAUCCUAAUGACAGCAGACAUUGUACAAUCCUCAAUCAUGCCUCUCACCUGGAUAGUAGAAGGAUGAUGACGUAAUCCCACAAGUUGGUACACUUUGACAGCCAAUUUAUACCCGGGAAUGGCGAGAACGACACGAAAAGACGCUCGGUUCCAGGAUUUCGAGUCAUUCUUCAUCUAAACGGGAAUAUAUGAACAUCCUAGCAGUCGGCAUCCUAAUGACAGCAGACAUUGUACAAUCCUCAAUCAUGCCUCUCACCUGGAUAGUAGAAGGAUGAUGACGUAAUCCGACAAGUUGGUACACUUUGACAGCCAAUUUAUACCCGGGAAUGGCGAGAACGACACGAAAAGACGCUCGGUUCCAGGAUUUCGAGUCAUUCUUCAUCUAAACGGGGAAUAUAUGAACAUCCUAGCAGUCGGCAUCCCAAUGACAGCAGACAU